AGUGAACGCUGGCGGUAGGCCUAACACAUGCAAGUCGAACGGCCGCACAGUAAGCGCUUGCUCUUACGGGUGGCGAGUGGCGGACGGGUGAGGAAUACAUCGGAAUCUACUUUUUCGUGGGUGAUAACGUAGGGCAACAUACGCUAAUACCGCAUACGACCUACGGGUUAAAGCAGUGGUUCUUCGGACCUUUCCCGACUGAUUGAGCCGAUGUCGGAUUAGCUAGUUGGCUGGGUAAAGGCCCACCAAGGCGACGAUCCGUAGCUGGUCUGAGAGGAUGAUCAGCCACACUGGAACUGAGACACGGUCCAGACUCCUACGGGAGGCAGCAGUGGGGAAUAUUGGACAAUGGGCGCAAGCCUGAUCCAGCCAUACCGCGUGGGUGAAGAAGGCCUUCGGGUUGUAAAGCCCUUUUGUUGGGAAAGAAAAGCAGCAGGUUAAUACCCCGCUGUUCUGACGGUACCCAAAGAAUAAGCACCGGCUAACUUCGUG
This 492-nucleotide ribosomal RNA is filed under the name uncultured bacterium. Its description in RNAcentral is "partial 16S ribosomal RNA". It matches the Rfam family "Bacterial small subunit ribosomal RNA", at positions 29 to 507 of the family's 1533-position model. The record is from RNAcentral.